GAGUUUGAUCCUGGCUCAGAACGUACGCUGGCUGCACGCCUAACACUUGCAAGUCGAACGCAGUAGCAAUACUGAGUGGCAGACGGGUGAGUAACAUGUGGGAAUCUGCCUUGUGGUUCAGGACGACAUUGGGAAACCGAUGCUAAUACUGGAUAAGCCCUUACGGGGAAAGUUUUAAUGCCAUAAGAUGAGCCCGCAUUUGAUUAGUUAGUUGGUGAGGUAAUGGCUCACCAAGACAAUGAUCAAUAGCUGAUCUGAGAGGAUGAUCAGCCACACUGGGACUGAGACACGGCCCAGACUCCUACGGGAGGCAGCAGUGGGGAAUCUUGCACAAUGGAGGAAACUCUGAUGCAGCGAUGCCGCGUGAGUGAAGAAGGCCUUUGGGUUGUAAAGCUCUUUUGUAGGGGAAGAUAAUGACUGUACCCUAAGAAUAAGGUCCGGCUAACUUCGUGCCAGCAGCCGCGGUAAUACGAAGGGACCUAGCGUAGUUCGGAAUUACUAGGCGUAAAGCGCGCGUAGGCCGUUGAGUUAGUUAAUUGUGAAAUCCCAAAGCUUAACUUUGGAACUGCAAUUAAAACUGCUCGACUAGAGUUUGAUAGAGGAAAGCGGAAUACAUAGUGUAGAGGUGAAAUUCGUAGAUAUUAUGUAGAACACCAGUUGCGAAGGCGGCUUUCUGGAUCAACACUGACGCUGAGGCGCGAAAGUAUGGGUAGCAAAGAGGAUUAGAUACCCUCGUAGUCCAUACCAUAAACGAUGAUUGCUAGAUGUUGGAAAUUUAUUUUCAGUAUCGCAGCUAACGCAUUAAGCAAUCCGCCUGGGGAGUACGACCGCAAGGUUAAGACUCAAAUGAAUUGACGGGGACCCGCACAAGCGGUGGAGCAUGUGGUUYAAUUCGAAGAUACGCGCAGAACCUUACCAACCCUUGACAUGUCUGUCGCGAGUUUAGGAAACUAGACUUUUCGGUUCGGCCGGACAGAACACAGGUGCUGCAUGGCUGUCGUCAGCUCGUGUCGUGAGAUGUUGGGUUAAGUCCCGCAACGAGCGCAACCC
Molecule: ribosomal RNA, 1050 nt
Filed under: uncultured bacterium
Lineage: Bacteria
Description: bacterial SSU rRNA
Rfam family: Bacterial small subunit ribosomal RNA
Source: RNAcentral